Molecule: ribosomal RNA, 405 nt
Filed under: uncultured bacterium
Lineage: Bacteria
Description: partial 16S ribosomal RNA
Rfam family: Bacterial small subunit ribosomal RNA
Source: RNAcentral
GAUGAACGCUGGCGGCGUGCCUAACACAUGCAAGUCGAGCGAAGCGGGGACGGGUGAGUAAAAUGUGGAUAACCUCCUAUAAGACUGGGAUAACCUCGGGAAACCGGAGCUAACCCGGAUACUUAUCGAUGGAUCCGCGCUGCAUUAGCUGGUUGGUAAGGUAACGGCUCACAAAGGCAACGAUGCAUAGCCGACCUGAGAGGGUGAUCGGCCACACUGGAACUGAGACACGGUCCAGACUCCUACGGGAGGCAGCAGUGGGGAAUCUUGCGCAAUGGGCGAAAGCCUGACGCAGCAAUGCCGCGUGUAUGAUGAAGGUCUUCGGAUCGUAAAGCUCUGUUAUUAGGGAAGCGGUACCUACUCAAAAAGCCCCGGCUAACUACGUGCCAGCAGCCGCGGUAAUUC